RNAcentral lists this ribosomal RNA (406 nucleotides) under uncultured Acetobacteraceae bacterium. RNAcentral's name for it is "bacterial SSU rRNA". It matches the Rfam family "Bacterial small subunit ribosomal RNA", at positions 355 to 775 of the family's 1533-position model. Lineage: Bacteria; Pseudomonadati; Pseudomonadota; Alphaproteobacteria; Acetobacterales; Acetobacteraceae. The record is from RNAcentral.
UGGGGAAUAUUGGACAAUGGGCGCAAGCCUGAUCCAGCAAUGCCGCGUGGGUGAAGAAGGUCUUCGGAUUGUAAAGCCCUUUCGGCGGGGACGAUGAUGACGGUACCCGCAGAAGAAGCCCCGGCUAACUUCGUGCCAGCAGCCGCGGUAAUACGAAGGGGGCUAGCGUUGCUCGGAAUGACUGGGCGUAAAGGGCGCGUAGGCGGUUCACACAGUCAGGCGUGAAAUUCCCGGGCUCAACCUGGGGGCUGCGCUUGCGACGUGCGGGCUGGAGUGCGGAAGAGGGUCGUGGAAAUUCCCAGUGUAGAGGUGAAAUUCGUAGAUAUUGGGAAAGAACACCGGUGGCGAAGGCGGCGACCUGGUCCGUUGACUGACGCUGAGGCGCGAAAGCGUGGGGAGCAAAACA